RNAcentral lists this microRNA precursor (128 nucleotides) under Picea abies (Norway spruce). Its description in RNAcentral is "miR11564a stem-loop (pab-MIR11564a)". The record is from miRBase by way of RNAcentral. Lineage: Eukaryota; Viridiplantae; Streptophyta; Pinopsida; Pinales; Pinaceae.
AUCAGUCAAUGGAAGUCCACAGAUUUGACCACAAAAUCCACAUUGUCUUCUGGGUUUUGUUUUCAGAGGAAAAAAUGAGUCUUAAUGUGGAUGUUGGGGUCAAAUCUAUGGGGUUUCCAUCGAUUGAU